Canis lupus familiaris (dog) is the source of this 978-nucleotide long non-coding RNA. RefSeq lists it as uncharacterized. NCBI's taxonomy places the organism in Eukaryota, Metazoa, Chordata, Mammalia, Carnivora, Canidae. The record is from RefSeq and is a predicted model, not a curated record. The transcript has 4 exons.
UAGGGCACACGCCAAGAGUGCUUCUCUUCUGGUAUUCAGGCCAGACGGUGAUAUUCCUGUGGUCACAGGCACGAGUUCCUGGAGGAGGGGCACUGGUCCUGAAAGCCGGGGCCCCACACUGAGCUCCACGGGCUCCCACUCAGUUCCACUCCGAGACGCAGCAUGGCAGAGAACUGGGAAGGUCCAGGAAUUGGGAGCAAGGUUGUCUGAGCUCAGGCCGGAGCCUCUGCAACAGAAGGUAAUGAUCAUACUCGCCUACCAGAGUCAUUGCCAAGAAAUGAGAACAGGCCCUGCACACAACUGGUGCAAUGUGCUGAAAACUGAGGCUGCGUCUGGCUACUUCAGCCCUGCCCACCUCACGCCCAUCUGCAGGAUCUGAUCCCCGGAAGAGCUCCAACAUCGCUGCCCCAGGACUUGCUGGCAGGCAGAUCCUCUCAGGAUGUGGUUGUGAAAGACGUGAACUCAACUAGCUUCUGUGGAGUACCUUUUGUAUGAAAUGCGUCCGCCAACACUAUCUCGUUGAGUCCUCCGAGAUGUGAUGGCUGACAUGCUGCAGCCCUCUUGAACCAUGCGGUGACCCUGGGAAUGGGAGCCUAUGCUAUGGAAGGUGCUGGAGAAAGCCAGAGCGGCUUGGGGUUCCUGAUAACUUCAUGAAGAUGCCGUGCCUGCCCAGAACUGCAUCUUUCUGGACUCUUUUGACACCAGAGAACGAGCCCUUGUUUCUGUUGUAUAAAGUCUAACUUAAUCCUAAAUGAUGGGUCUUGUUUGACUAAAGUUCUGGAAUGUCUAGCUAUCCUGGGAUACUUGAGUCCUACCUGCUUUCUCUGCCUUUUAAACACAUACCUGAGUCUACUUCGUAAUGUGAUGAAGCACAGAACAUAUGGUUACCUGUACAAGUUUAGGUACAGAGACUUUGUGGAUAGUUCUAAAUUAAUGUCUAAAUUCAGUCCUUUGUUGAAUAAAUAUAUGUGGAACAUC